Bos taurus (domestic cattle) is the source of this 563-nucleotide long non-coding RNA. The record is from Ensembl. NCBI's taxonomy places the organism in Eukaryota, Metazoa, Chordata, Mammalia, Artiodactyla, Bovidae.
CGUUCCUUCAAGGCUGAGGGACUUGUGGUUAAAUGAUUACAGAGGAAACAAGCUCUUUCAAAACAAUUCAACAAAUACUGAAGCAAGAUUUACAUGUGAGAUGUGUUUCUUAGCAUGACAAGGAAAGCAAACUGGUUCAGUGAGAAAAGUCCUGAGAAAGCAAAGCUGACAUGGUGGGGAAGGCGGACGACCCCAUCAGGCACUCACACGGAACACACGCCAGUGUUUCUCAACUUUACACGGUGCUGAGCAGCCGUGGGGCAUACAUGUCAACAGCUUUGCCCUUUGCUUGGAAAGCAAGGAUAGAAAUGAAUUGGAGAAAACAAUUGUUUAUGUGGUGGAUAUGUCUCCUUUGCCCACGUCCUGUUCGAUAGUAAUGAAGAUUGCAACACCAAACGACCCCAGAUAUUCUGCUUGGAGUCACCAUUCGUGAUGAUUGCUCAUAGCUAAUCAAAGGAUGUUAUGAAAUGUGAGUCAGACAGCCGCCGGCUUCCUGGAAGUUCCAGAACCUGUAUAUAAAGAGGGAGCUUCCUAGUUGAAACACUGGAGCAGCAGAGAGGUAG